GGAGGGUUGGCAGAGCGGUCGAAUGCGGCGGUUUUGAAAACCGUUGUCCCCAUACCCGGGGACCGUGGGUUCGAAUCCUACACCCUCCGCCA
RNAcentral lists this transfer RNA (92 nucleotides) under Planctomycetota bacterium. RNAcentral's name for it is "tRNA-Ser". It matches the Rfam family "tRNA". Rfam says of the family: Transfer RNA (tRNA) molecules are approximately 80 nucleotides in length. Lineage: Bacteria; Pseudomonadati; Planctomycetota. The record is from RNAcentral.